CUCAUCAACAACUUAAAUGAGAGCGACGGGCGAUGUGUACAUAUCCUAGAACCAAUCUAUCAUGAAAACAAUCUACAAAACAUUACAACCAAAUCCAAUUUCAUGUAAAUAUUCAAACAAACAAUCCAAACAACGCAUAACACUGUAAUCCAUCAUUACACUUAGAAAAAGCUGCACCUUGACCUGCAAUAAAUCAAAUUAAAGAAACCAGAAAAUUAAGAAACUCUAAAAAGAUAAUCAAUAAACGGCGGUAUACAAACCAAAAUUAACCCCAAGUAAGGUCCAACGCGGACUAUCGAUAACGAGACAGAUUCCUCUGAACGGAGUAGGAUACCGCCAAAUUCUUUAAGUUUCAAGAACACAACUAAUACUACUCAGGCAAAAAACAUUAACACUCAAA
This 400-nucleotide ribosomal RNA is filed under the name Odontotermes formosanus. Its description in RNAcentral is "partial 12S ribosomal RNA". The record is from RNAcentral. Lineage: Eukaryota; Metazoa; Arthropoda; Insecta; Blattodea; Termitidae.